CCCUUAGAUGUCCGGGGCCGCACGCGCGCUACAAUGGAUGAAUCAACGCGUCGUCCUGGCCCGAAAGGGUUGGGGAACCGCUGAACCUCAUCCGUGGUUGGGAUUGGGGUUUGUAAUUAUUCCCCAUGAACUAGGAAUUCCCAGUAAGCGCGAGUCAUAAGCUCGCGUUGAUUACGUCCCUGCCCUUUGUACACACCGCCCGUCGCUACUACCGAUUGGAUGGUUUAGUGAGACCCUCGGAUCGGUCCCGACUCGGGGUGGGCUUCUGCCCCGGUCGUGGUUUCGCCGAGAAGACGGUCAAACUUGACUAUCUAGAGGAAGUAAAAGUCGUAACA
RNAcentral lists this ribosomal RNA (335 nucleotides) under uncultured eukaryote. RNAcentral describes it as "partial 18S ribosomal RNA". It matches the Rfam family "Eukaryotic small subunit ribosomal RNA", at positions 1470 to 1796 of the family's 1831-position model. The record is from RNAcentral.